Molecule: non-coding RNA, 13298 nt
Organism: Phalacrocorax carbo (great cormorant)
Lineage: Eukaryota; Metazoa; Chordata; Aves; Suliformes; Phalacrocoracidae
Source: RefSeq, a predicted model, not a curated record
AAUAACCGUGGCUUAUUGUGUCUUACCUAUUAACAUAUGCAGAGUGGGGAGCUGCAUUCGACUUUAGUGUCUUUUCACCAGCAAAGUAUUUAUUACUUCUAAAUUAGUGCACUGAGAACUUUGAGGACUUUUUUUAACUAGAAGCCCUGACAUUAUGUCGGCUGUGAAGUGGUGGGUAGCUUCCAGCAUUUUUGACUGCAUGCAUCCAGGUUGAGGUAGUAGGUUGUAUAGUUUAGAAUUACACCAAGGGAGAUAACUGUACAACCUCCUAGCUUUCCUUGGGUCUUGCACAGAACGGCGUGAUGAGCGACUAUAAUUCCUCAGCAAUGUUUGCUCUGGACACAUGGAACAGGAAAGAGCAGGUAAGAUGAGCUGGAAAACCUGUUAUUUUCUUCUGCCUCUCUAGAACUUCAGAAAUGUUCAUUCUCUUGGCAUUUUUUACCUAUUGGUGCUAUACUACCGAGUUUUUAGCAAAUUCAGUGGACUAGUAAUGCCUGUCUUCCUUUAUUAGCAUUCGAGCAGCGCAACGUGUAACAUUCCUAAAAAGCACCAUGGCAACAUAUCAGUGUUAUUGCCUUCGCGGUCAGCAAUCAGAAGUCUCCAAAGGUAACAUGAAAAACAUCCUGUGUUGUAUCUGUUAUUGAGAUGUGUAAGGAGGCUUCCCUUUCCAUUAGUCUUUGACUGGUUCAGUUAGUUCUACACUAGGAGUUAAACAAGGCUGUGCCCUGUAGCAGUGUGAGACCUGGCACACUCAUUGUCUCUCAGGAAGCGUAGGAGGCUGGUGCUGAUGCUUCCAGAUAAAGCCUGUAAGGGUUUGUGUGAAAGUACCUAAAUCUACACAGUCCUCAGGAGAGCAGUUCUCAGGGAAUAUCCGUUAGUGAUUACAGUCAGCUGAAAUGGUGAUUCUGAAGUUCGGGGUUUUUUCUAGGCUUGCACAGUUGAAUUGGGUGUUUCAAAGGCUGAUGCUUCUGGACACAUCCAAUAGAGGUGCUUUGCUUCUCCCUCACAGCAGAUUGGAUUAAGGAGCCGUGGAGCCACCCCAAAUUUUGUAGAGGAGCUGUGCAGAGGACGGGCACGUGGUGAGCCUGCAGUCUUGGGCGGAAGGCCACAUUUCUAAUGUAUCUUACGUGUCUAAAAUGCAGGCAAUAGAACCUAAUAUAGCCAGCUGCUAUUGAAAUCUACAGUUUUAUUUGCCUAACCAUCUGAGGCCUAAAAAACACUCUGAAACCCUGGCGUUUAUCUAGUAAAGUUUGAACACAAGAGUCAAGGUCUUCAUGUUGGCAGCGUUCGGGGUUCAGUUCCCCUGGCAGCCUGGAUGAAGAUGGUAGCUCUAAUGCUUGAUUGGGGCCCAGAACACGAGCUGUGUUGCAUCUUUUGACUAUAUAAUAUAUGACGAAUUCUGGCAAGAGAUUUUUGAGUUCCCAGAAAUAAGAGGGACUGUUUGCUAGUGGGCAAACUUUCUAAGUUAGCAAAUAAAAGUAAAGGGUAGGCACAGGGUUCAUUUUGUUAAGCUAAUCUAAAAGUGUGAAAAUAAUAAAAAUAUUUCAGGGUAUCUAAAUAACCCAGAAAAACGUGUUUUUUUUUUCUGGUAAAAUGGCACUUAAAAACUUUAAUAUCUGCAUAUCCUUGUUUACUGAAUGCAAAGAGAAGCUGUUGGUUUCUCAAGUGUUACCCAGUGCUCAAUUAUUAGCUAUUCAGAGAGUGGAUUUUGUGGGAUUUUAUGUUUUCAAAGAGGUUAUAGAUAUCACUAUCAUGGUUUAUAAUGCUGCAGUUCCUUCGGGCAAGGCAAGUAUCAGGGCUAACACAAUGCUGCUUCUGUGUGUCAUGAAGGCACAUGCAUUAAACAUGCAGGUAGUUAAUAAAGAAGAAACUUUUUGGCACAUUUUAGGCAGUACCUUAUUUCCCCCCCCAUUAAUCUUUUUGCAGAUGGAAGUGCAAAUUUUCAGCUGUAAAUCCACAAGCUGCAUUGACUCACGUCCAGUGUAGAACUGUUCCAUAAGGGUUAUUUUUUUUUACCUGUUUGGUACUUCUCUAGGAAUACCUUCACGAAUGGUGUUAUAUUCCCAACUAAGAGCAGCCUCUUUUCUAUUUUGGUGGUAGCAUUUUAGAUCUGCCUUGCACAGGUAUAAGGGAGCUUCUCAAAGUUCAAUAAUAGCAGUUAUUUAUACUAACACACACAUAUGUGCUAUCGGACUUAACUUUAUGAAGUAUGUUAAUCAUAUGACACAUAAAUCAAAUGAUCUAUCUUGCUCCAAAGGACAAAGAAUAAUAAUUUAAAAGGGGACUGGUCAGUGGUACAUUGAAGUUGACAAUAAACAUAAUUCAAUGUGCAUAUUUUUCUUCUGAACAAAAUAGCAUUCCAGCUCUCCCCCUGAUGAGAGGAAUGUAUUGUCAAUUAAUUAGACUUCCAUCAUAUGUCCUCGGAUGCCCUUCUAUCAUAUGCCUUCCAUAUGUCCUUAUGUCAUAUGCCUUCCAUAUGCCCUCUAUGUAAUUAAGCUUCUAUCAUAUGGCUUCUAUCAUAUGCCAUUUAAAUAGAUUUCCAGAAGAAUAUGGCAGUGUUACAAUUGUGGACCUUUUGCAAUGAGUAAAGGAACAACUCGUGAGCUGUAGAUUAAAAGAGGAGGAAGCAAAAGGAAGGUGGCUGGCCCUCAACAGUCCCUUCAAUUGCCAGUUUUGUUUCUCUCAGUUUGGGCGAUGAACGGACAAAAGUGUCCUAUUUUCCUUGUUUUCCAUUACUGUUCCAUUCCCAGUUUUUAUUCAGUUAAGCCUGUGAAUAGUUGGAGAGAUAGCGACUGUUUUUCAGAGAACAUUUCCACUGGAAUGUAAAAUGAAAAAGAAACAAUCCACCUCCCAGAAAAUUGUUUGUCAUAUGAUAAAGAAAUGUAAACUUUGAUCUUGUUUUUGUCCCUUUAAGUCUGUAACAUGUGGAGUACUAGAAAAGUCAUGGUGAGAGAAUUAACGAAAAUGAGAUUGUACACUUAAGCACGCAUCCCUGUUCUGCCUUGUGGACAAUGGCUGCAGAUAGUAUUGUGCUUUUCUUGGCGUGGUGAUGCCUUGGUAGAUAGUGUCCUAAUCUACAAGAAUAUGUAGUGAAAUGGAUUCCAAAUUUACUCUGACUUAUUAAGGAUAAAGACCAAAAAUAGGCGCUGAUGCUUAUACACGUAAUGAAGAAAACUGCAAGCAUCUGAGGAAUGAUGAGGUCUUGGAAUGGUUUCCAGUGAAGAGACAGAUAGUGUGCUUGUUUGCCUGAUGUACGUUUAUGUAUCUGUGCCUUCUUUCUCCCCAGCAACUUCUGAGACUAUUCUCUAAUCCCAGUCAGAUUUGAUACAGGAGCAGUGGCUUCCAAGACUAUUCUGCUCCAGCAAGCUUUACAGGAAUUGCAGAACUCACAGCCAUAUAUCCAGCAGUCAGGAAGAAGGUUGAAAGGACAAAGAGAAGGUAAAAUAGAGUCAUACGUGCGGAGGUGUCCAAACUAUAAAAUGGGGAGCAGUUUGCAGCAUAUGCCAGUUUAUCUGGAUUAACUGCAUUGAAUGAAGUAAUGAGAACAGUUCAAACAGAUUCCCACUGGCUAGUAACAAGCACGUCCCUGAAGACUUCGAACUCUAGCUGCUAGAGCAUGCUAAAACCCAUACCAUCGUGACUUCACUGCUAUUUUUAUGUGCUCUGCCUAGAUUAAGCCAGAAUUUACCAAACAAUGGUCCUAUAUUUUGCUGUGUAGGCGUACUGCUAGCCACUAUUUGUAAUAUAGAUGCAUUCCUGAAAGAUAGGUGACAGGUCUUAUUUUGGCUUAAUCUUUUUAUUCUCAACUCAGUUCUCAUUUGAAACACACACACACACACAAAACAUAACCAGUGCAUCUGGAAGUUCUAGGUCAUUAGGGAAAUUAUUCUGAAAAAUUCAUGUUGUGGUCCUGCACCACCAUUAGUUUGCUGGUGCCACAGUCGUAAACUCCGUACUCAGGGAAGCCUUUAAGCCUCUUGUAGCGUACCACUGAAAUUAUCUGUCAAGAAUAACUGCUCAUGUGUUGUACUCAGAAUUCUUUUUCUCCUGGUUUGCUGGGCAGCAGGAAAAUCCUUUCAAUAGUAUGCAGCUGCAAAUUCUCUUUUGCUUCUGUGUUUUCACGUGGCUGUGAUACUUUUGAAGGCUGGCAGCCUAACAGUCCUGAAGAAGGAGGAACUCUGUUUAUCCACAAAAUUGGGACCUUGACGGCGUGCGACCCCAUAAGCAUCUUCUGACCAUUCUGUUGUGCUGCCUCGCAGCUCUCCUUGGAGAGGACCAACCUGUGUUGGUGAGAAAGCGGAGGCAAGGGCUGUUUCCUGAAUUCUGCCCCUUUGGAAAGGAGACUGACACUCAGAAACUUUCACCGUUAGAGGGAUUAUUUUUUUUAAAAACAAUGCCUUUCAUCUAUUUCCACACCCAGCUGAAACUAUGCUGCAACACUUGUGCUGCUAAAUCAGAUGCAUUAAGUACAGUCAAAUUUGUACAUAAAAGUUUUGUAAGAACUGGGAUGAAAUAGAAUGGAAUGCCAGAAUGACUCAUUGUUUAAUGAAUAAGGCCCUAAGUGUUCUAUUGAUGCCAUUUAUAAAUCUGUAUAAAAUGUAUAGAAUUCAUGUCAUAACUGGAAUUCCAAGCACAGCAACCUUGUGAGCUAAAUUAUGAUGAUGAUAGGGUACUGCACAAAUUAAUAUGAAUUCUAACACGCUUCUGCUUGAAAGCUGCUCAGACUGUUAAAAAUAAGACAAUUUCAUUACACUUAUUCGAAGCCCAGACCUCAGAAAUGCUGCUACUCUUCCUUUUGAAAUUGUAAAUUACUGAAGAAGGAAGUUCUUUUUGUGUGUCUUAGAGUCAAAAAGUAUAACCUAUAAGGGAAAAAGAUGUCCUUUCAGUUAGAUGUAGAUAUUGAUUACAAUACACAGUGUAACUGGAAAAGAAAAGAAUGAGCUGCUAUAUAUUUGGAACUCUUCUAUUGGAAAUGAACAGUCUGAGGCCAGAGCAGACAUGUGAACACACACAGUUUUUUAAACUUUUUCCUUCUCAUUCUUACUUUUUGCCUUUUCAUAGCUUGGUGGCUCAAUAUUAAACCAGGUGAAGUUCAGCAUUUCCAGCGCGAGUUUUUGAGAUAAGUUCUAUAUCCAUUCAGAUUUCAGUCAGAGACAAACUCCUGUAUGUGUGGUGUUGGGCUACCAGGAUUUAACCUUGUGAUAAAACCUUCCAGUCUAAAUUGGAACAGAAAGGAAAUCUGAUGUUUCGAAAUUUCCCGUAGCAGAGGAAGAUUAUCUGUUUUAUCUGGGAAGAAAAAACACUUUUUUUUUCUUUUGUUUUUAAACAAGGCAGUACUUCUAGUUGCCCUGACUCCGCUAAUGCUCCGGGCAGUCCCAGUUGCAUAUAUUUAGAUUUACAUAUUCAAAAUGUGAAACGCAUUCUCCCUGAGCAAAUAUUCCUUUACAUGCAAUAGGGUGAAAUUAGCCUAUUUGUGCAAUGUCAUGGCCCUGUUUCUUGGUUAAAUAAGUUCAAGAAUCAGGUUUCUGGGGCAGAUAUGGAAAGAGAUUGAAAUUCUGCAUUCUGUAUUAUAUGCAGUGGCUUCUCCUUACCACCACCUCUCCCUGCUUCUUUCUCACAUUCAUAGAAAACAACUUCCUCUCCAGUUAGGUGAUGCAAGAUUGUCUGAGGUGUACUGCAAAUGAAAUACCGCUGGCUAGAAAUACUGCAAGCAAUUAUUUUCUUAAAAGCAGGAGCGAGCUGCUACUGCUGCUAAGGAUGAAGUCACUUACCUACGGGGAAAGAGCUGGCGGCCGCAGGUGGGGGCUUUACCAGUGGCUGCAGGAUACCCGCUGGAGCCACUCCCUGGCUCCUACCUGCCACCUCUCCGUGUACAACUGCUGCUUCUUUUUUAAGAAAAAAGCCCACCACACUUAAGACCCCUUCAAAAGUACUGAGUCUGAGAGCAGUGUAGAUACAGCUAACGUACAGUCCUUAAUUUCUGUUUUCCGUCUAUGUUCCGGUAGGUUCAGGUAGCCAAACCUCUGCGCCAUGCCACGCAGGAGCAAAUGGUGUGGUGCAGGGUUCUCCCUUGCUCCUCCUGGGUCAUUGAGGAUAAGUCCGCUUCGAGCGUGAGUCAUCCUGCUGCCACUUUUCCUUCCACCCUUUGCCAAGGUCUGAUGACAAGACUGUGAUUUCUCUAAGCUUGUCUUUGUUACAGGUGUGACACACAGCUCGUAGGGUUUCAUUACGGCUUUCAUAAUGUAUUCACGAAAUGUCAGGAUCAAGUCAUUUAUAAUUAACAGUGAUGUGUAAAUGUCAUGUCUAACAAUUGUAGUGUAAGAACAUUUUUGUGAAUGGGCCAUUUUUUACGCAUGCAACUGUCAAUGUCCAAAAAAGCCAUAACCAGCCAGGCAAAUGGUCGAUAAAGACAGAUUAUUUUUUUCCUUUUGUUUCUCCCCAUUGAAUUCUUGAUAGACAACUAGACCUUGGUGCCUGUUGUUCCUAGAUCCAGUACAGAUAUAAAGCUCAAGCCAGGAAUGGAAGCUUUUAUGAACAUUUUAGGGCUUGAUCUUGUUAUAAAUGUGGAAUGGAUAAACUGCUGCAUAAUACUGAUGUGCAGUCGGUAUGAGCACUGUCUAUAUUUUUGGCACCAAAGACAGUAAGGCAUGCAGCAUAGGAGCUGUACUACCAAAUCUGAGGAGAGGAAGGUGCCAGCAAAAAUAGUCCCAAGCAUGGAGAUAUCUGAAAUUGAUAUACUGGAACCAUCCCCAUUGGAAAGGAAAAACAAAUUGACAUUAUAAUGAAAAGAAAAGAAAGAACGAGGAGGUAGACUGAGAAAUUCUCAGUUUCACAAAGUGAAUACAAGGAGACAUGCAGUGAAAUUAAAUGGUGACAAAUUGAAAAUGUUUUAAAAAGCAAUUCUUUUCCACCAGUAUUUAAUUAAAAAAUGAAUGUAAUUGCUUUUAGAAGUUAAUGGGAAGUCUAGAACAGAUUAGAUACUUAUGUUUUUAAUAACCAUACAUAGAAUUAUAGAAAUUUGUUGUGAUAACUUUAGAACUGAGUUUAGACUUAAUGUUUCAGGGUUUAGGAUGAAGUGCAGCAAUUCAAGACCAGGGAAAAACCAGUGGAAAGGACAGCUCUUGAUUGUCCAAAGCCGCUAAUACUUGUCACUAUUGGAGAAGAUAUAUUAGAGAAGUCUGGAUUCUGACUCAGUCUAUAUCUGUCUCCUGCAAAGGAUUAAGCACAUACUUUGCCACUGACAAAUAAAAGUGAAGGGUUGAUAGAUGUUUGACCUUCACUUGGCCUCGCAUGUUGAAUAACUGCAAUACAACAGUAUUAGUAAUAAUUAUCCAAUGGCAUGGUCCACCUCCCGUUCCUUACGGUUACGUGUGCAAUGAGAGAGGAUUGCAUGACCACUGUCCAGAAAUGAAAGCAGAGGAAGGUGAACGGCUUAUCCGAGGCCAGGCAGCAUAUCACUGGAAGGGCUGUGUACAAAAGGCAGGGGGAAGCUGUGCAAGUGAGAUGGGCCAGUUUUUGCUCUUGGUGAGUAAUAACUUAGUUCAUGCAAAUGACAGCAGGAUUUUUCCUUGUCCUGCCAUGGCUUUAAAAGGAGUUAGAUCCUGGUUUAGGUUGCAAAGAAAAUGCCUUGUGUUGCCGUUUCCGUGAAUCCUACUCUGAAGCUCAGUUAUAGAAUCAUGUUAUUUGGUCAUCUUGAAGUCUGUAAAUUGGCUUACGACAAGCUCCUGGCAGUGGGACUCAAGCAUAUCUUUAACACCGUUGCCCAAGAAGUGCCUUGAGACCCAUAAAGACAAUGAAUUCUGAUGUAACUGUUCACAUUGUUGUUUGCCUGAAACCUCGAAGGUAAUUUGCUGGGGUAACAACGAGGACAAAAUUAAUCUCUCCUUUGCCUGGGUAUCUGAGGGAGCUUUAAAAACUCUGAACAGGACAGAAUUCACUUGGGAAGUUCAAAGUUUAUAAAGCAGCGCCCUUAAUCGUUGCGAGGCCCUCGGUCUGCCUCUCGCCACAUUGCAUUACAUAUUGACGCAGGCUUUGCAUUAUAUAUUAAAGCAGAUUUGUCCUCAGAUACCCUACUGUGGAGAAGGCCAUUUUUAAAUCCUUAAUAGGGCAUUAGAGCAAUUUGCCUGUGAUUUAGUUUUAAGUGGGCAAGGAGAGUGGUGACAAACGAAGCCGGGAGGCCCUAAAAUUCUUUGAAUAUUCCAUGUUUUCCUGGAACUGUUGGGAAAAGGCUGCCAGAAAGGUCUUGGCAGGUUUUCUAGGUGGCUGGCCAAGUCUGAAGCAAAUGUGGAUAGUUAAUAGGCUAAUGCAGCUCUGGUUCCAAGUCCGUACGUAUAUAACAUACGUUUUUAUUUAAGAAAUCCCACUGCAUGAAGGAGCAAAUGUAGUGCUAAUAUAUCUUCCUGAAAGAAAAUAGCAAGGGAAAAAACACUGUCAUCUUGUAACUAUAAAAUAAGGGAUCUUAUGCUCUUACUUUUUAGGGACUUGAAUUGUCAGCUGAAGAAGAGAAGAUGUAGGAAAUGAAAUCAGUAGACAGGCAGUGGCUUUCCCGGGAGGGCCCCAUCUUAAUCAGGAAUGGCUUGUAUAGCGAUAGUUUGCGUCUAAGAAAAAAGGCAGAAGUUGUUCAAAGAAUGCAUUUCCACGGCUAGAUUGACUUUUUGUUGUUGCAAGUAAUUAAAAAUGGCAAUUAAGCGGGAAAGUGAUCAAAUAAUGAGUCGGGACCUGCUGCUGCAGUUGGCUCCGUGUGGACAGCCCGUUCUAGCAUGAAGCAUGAGGCCACCAGUGCGUGUCGAAUCAUAAGAAUUAAGUGCUGCUACCGAGUCAUCCCAGGUGUAGGCUGGUUUGGGAGGGAUUUCUCUGUGCACCAGGGUCAGAACUGUGGUCACAGGCACCCACGGAAUAGGUGGUCACUGUCGUGACUGGCAGGAGUUGUUUCUGGGAAACAUGAGUUCAGAUUUCUCUGACACACCAGGUGAAUUAGCUUUGUAAUUUUAAAAUUGUCUCCACUGAGAGGGAUUCUUGUUCGAAUUCAGCUUAUGGGGCCUGUCUUGUUUUAUUAUCGAUGGGGCGAAGAGUGUGCACAGCCUCUACUGUCAUAGUGGAACAAUUUAUUAUUUUUUUUUAUUAUUAAGCCAUUGGUGCAGACCCUGAAAUUCUGCUACACUCUCCACUUAUUUUUCUUUGGUUUUAAAACAGAGGUCCCUGUUCCUCAUAAGGAGUGUUGUAAAGACAGACGAACUGAUCAUGUGUGAAUUGUUCAGACGGUCAUGUCGUGUGUCAUAUUGGAAUUGCAAGUAAGCAUACCGUAUACGUCUAUGAAGAAAUGUUUCAUAUGGACUACUUCCGUGCUAUCAUAUAUAUUUGUUAGCUGUACGAAGUUAAAAUUGACAACAUUUAUAAUCUAAUACUACUUUUAUACAAACAAAAUCAGCUUGAAAAGGUUAUUACUAUACUUUAGAAGCCCUAAUUAAAGAAUGUCAUUUAUUAUCAUAGUAAGUAAUCUGAUAUUCAGAUUGUUCUGUUUGUUUUCUUCAUUUUGUGUCUCCAAAAUGUUACGCUGUCUUUUUGCAUUACAAAACCAGCUAAAUUUAAGUUUAGGGUGUACUAGAGCCUGCGCUACGACGUUAAGUGAUGCAGAAGUAUGGACUGGCACCAGGAGCGGGGAGACUGGCUGCUGCGCGUGCGUCCCGCUGCUAUUUCUGGCAUGCAGAGCCUGAGCAGCGUCUGAUGGGCCAAACGUAAGUCCCCAGAGGUUGCCGCGUCUUCCUCGCGUUCUGACAUUCAUCCUGUCACAUGCCUCUUGAUAUGUGACUUUCUAAUUUUUAAUACACCCUCAACACCAGUGAAGCAACCGAAAGCAAGUUACUGUAUAUUAAGACCUCUGUGCCUGGUUUCGCAAGAGGUAAGGGUGACUAGGCUUGUGUUCAGAUUUCCCCUGUGUAAAAGUGCCCGAGCCUUUUCCUUCUUUGACAGCAAUACCUAAAUGGCUUGGCAUCACGUAGAUACCCUGCGAGAUGAGACUCCCUGUCCCCAGGAGCUUGCAGUCUAAAUAGAUAAGGCAGGCAGAAGAAGAAACACAAAGAGACAGAGAGACUUGCCCAAGCCACUUAGCACAUCGGGCGGCAGCACUGGGAAUAGGAACGGGGUCGUCUGAAUUCUCGCCACUGUCAUCGCCGCUGAUUCGGGAUUCCUGCGGCUGGUUCUGUGCCAGCCUCUGCCCUGUCCCUGUGCAGGGGUCGGUGGCUUGGGCCCACCAACCAGCUGCAGAAGGUAUUUUGGCGUCCUACCUUUUGGUUUAAUUCUUAAGCAGUGGCCAAGUAUUUUUUCCAUGAGAGAAAUAUGCUCUCGUGUGUUGUGUAAUUUUUUUCAAGUUAUGUUAAAUGCAGGCUGUAGCUGGAGUACUAGAAACCCUGAAAAACAUUUCUUUCUUUGUGUGAUCUUUUAAAUAAUUCCACCCUCUCAUUAAAAAGAAAGUCAGUGCUGAUGAAGAGGGCUAAGAGUCUGACAGAAGGCCUGGGGGAUAUUUAAGGAUGACCGUGCUUUGAUGUUCUUCGUGUCCUCAUAAUCUCUCAGGGGUCUUUACAAACUUUAGUUAAGGUUCACUUUUCAUAUGUGCAAUAGUUUUGUCACCUGUUUGUGUUGGUUUUAUGUAGGAGAGAACUGGAAAUAGACUGCAGGACUGAGGGUCCACACCGAAUUCAUGGAGGGAGGUAGGAAUAGACCUGUGGACUGCAGGCAGCAGGCUCUGCCCUCCAAUCACUGAACUACAAUCUCUCUUUUAGAGAGCGACCCUAGCACUUUUUGCCUAUUGAAAUAUAAUUCAUUCUAGCUCUGCUCUUAGUCUCGUGGAUUUCUAAUUUUAAUUUAAUUUUGUACUUCUCCUGCCAGGUCAGAUACCCAAAAUGUCCCUUAAACUUUACGUGUGUUUGUGAAGUUGAACCUAGGUUCAGCAGUUCAGUUUCUAUUUAAACAGCCUCAACAUGUAUUAUUUUUACUGGCUUUUUCAGGAGAAGAAAGCAAGAGUUGAUCGAGGGACACCAUCUUUUUCAUGCAAUGAUUCUAUUGAAAUUUCAAGUAAAUUUUAAAAAAGCAUUAAUGUUGACCAGACAGAAAGUUUUUGUAGCAACCUUGUAGGCCAACAUAUUCAUUUAUCUCCAUCACUUGGUAACUGCAAUUCUUAAAAUUCGUCAGACUUUCAGUACGAAGCAUCAGAUCUUAAGAAAUUAUGGCUCUAGCUCAAAACAGGUUAGAUUUAUCUGAAAUUUUAGUGAGGUUCUUGAAGCUUUCCUCAUGUUUUAGGUGAAUGGAGUCUUAUUUGAAACUUCUGGUGGACCUGAAGCCGUGUGAAAUAUGAGGGUUUUCAGGUGCUUUAUGAGUUAUGGAAAUGGCAAAUCAUGCAAGAGUAGAUGUAAUGCUUUUUUGCCUGACUUCAUCCACAUAAAUUUGAGUUUCACCUUGGAUUUCAGAGUUCAGUUAAAUCCAGUAUGUAUAGGAGAACUCACAGAUAAGGGCAGAUUGUUAACUCUCCAUAGAGCUCUGUUAGCAGACCUGGGGAUGGAGAGACAAUACAACCACCCCUUUUUAAGCUGUGUCGCUGUCGGGAUAGUGCUUGGGUGAGGUAAUUUGCUAACGUAUGCCUUGUUGGGUUUGGAGGUAAAAGUUGCUGGGUGAGUCAGGUUAAAAGGAAUUGUUGGUGAUGAAAGGGAGUUUACACGAUCUUCAACCACACUCGACAUAUCAUCUCUGUUGACUAACAGGCUAUCAAAUGAGGAUAACAAAAGUAAUCUGGACGUAGCCGCUUUGUUCCAAGGACUUCAAAACACUCCAAGGACAUGGUAAGCGUUGUCACGAUGGUUCUGUAUUAUGGGAAAGCAAGGUAGGAAGAGGUGGAAUGAUUUUAUCGCUGAUUUGAUGUGGAAUUGGACAAUAGUAUACAAAAUGGUGAGGUUCAAAUUAGUAGCUUUUGGUUCUCAAACUCCUCCCUUGGUAGAGCACUGUUCUGGUAAUGCCCAAAUCAUGACCCCUUUGCCCAACUUUGCUUUUUAUGAUGGGCCCCACACUAUGAAUUUGUACCUUUCUAUUAGUGAAUAUUUUUUUUCCUCCACUGAAGACAUUUUAUUGAUUUCUAAACUAUUCUCAUAUAUUAUCAUAUAUGCUGUCCAUAUUGCUGAGACGGAACUGUUAUUUUAAAGAUACUUCCUAAAUGAUCUCUGUAUAGUUUGUCUCGAGUGAAGUUACUGACUUGUCUCAAAGUCAGUAAGGUUUUAUAGUUAAUGCUUAAGUCCCUAAAGCACACUCUGUGGCUGAGCAUCCCUUCACCUGUGUGUCUUCUCCUUUGAAUGACUAAUUCCAAAUUGUCUCAGAAAAAGUAGUAGAAGUUUGUCUUUAAUCUACUUUCUGCUGUAACUGUGCACCUACCAAGGUCUCUUCUUCCUUUGAACCUGUGUCCAUCAUUAAAUUCAUUCUUUCUUUCUGUUUUCCAGCUUCUCUCUGCAAACUUCCUCUCACUCCAUUUCUGCAAGAACUUUUCCUGCAAACCAGGUCCCUAAGAGGAUUAGUGAAGGGGAUACCAAUUUAUUUAUACCCACCUCAGCAUGGCAGCAGCCAAACUAAGUUGCUGGACUGUUAAAUGGUGUGUAGCACAUGAAAGAAGCUUCAGUCUUCUGGUGCUGUUCAGAGUGGACAAGUGCCUACCUCACAGCUGCUCUGAACUUAUCCCCAAUGCUGGCGUUUGUUUUUUUUUUUUUUUCCUUCUUAGCCUGUUCACAUUGGGAAUACGAACAGUCAUGCUCAGGACUCAGUGGACUGCAGAGACUUGGCCCCCUUUUAAAUAUGAGAACAAUUUUCAGGCCUCUUUCAUUUGCACUUACUUCAUGCAAAACAAAAAAAACCCCAGAACCCCUCAAACUUUCUCUGUUUAAAUUUCAAAUUCCUGGUGGCCGCAGUGCCAGAUGAUGUUGCCACUUGUGUUUUCUUCUGUAGGGCCUGGCCUGAAUGAUCUCAAAGCAGCAAGCAAAGUUAAAUACAUGGCUGUGAUCAAAAGAGAAUGACACCUUUUUUUUUGUGCCAGCCUGGAGGCCCUUAGCUUUUGGCAUUUGAGUCUCUGAAAAACAAGGUUACUGGACUCUAGUAAAUGAAGUGUCCGGAUGUUAGUGAUGAUUCAUAAAAGCAAUUAAAAAAGGAAAGUGCUUUUCUGUUGAGCGUAAUGUCUUGGUUUGAAGAUGUUCUUAAGUGUGUGUGUAAUGCUGCAAAUAGUGGUCAGUGGAUAGUGACCGCUGUGUUUAAGAUUAUGGAUCUGUUUC